AGUGGAUUAAAAUCACAGCCCACGUUGUGCCUGCACAAAAGUGGGCGGGUGAUUUUAAGACACGCCCCGACAUGAGCAUGAAGUGCCGCGAAGCAGCACGAGAAUGCGAAUGCCGGGAGGAUCGUGAGAACGCGAAGCGUGGAACGAUCCGUAAUUAU
Molecule: small RNA, 158 nt
Filed under: bovine gut metagenome
Description: Clostridiales-1 RNA
Rfam family: Clostridiales-1 RNA
Source: RNAcentral